UCUGUUAUCUGGUCUUCCUCUACCACAGAUACUGUUUCUACCUGUACCCAGAUUGCUUGUGCUCUUUUUAUGAAUUUAGGGCAGAAAAGGCCCCAGAGGAGAACCAGGUGAACGAGGAGAAUCUGGUCUAAGAGGAGAUCAUGGAGAUCCUGGGACUACCAAUAAUGUUCCUGGUCCGAAGGGUGAAAAGGGAAACUCAGCACGGCAGGGAGACCCAGGACCACAUGGACUCCAAGGAGAGCAGGGUGAUGCUGGCCCUGAUGUAAGAACAGUAAUCAGUACAGGGCAGAAGUAACUGAUACAGUGGGGUUCCCAUUGAGAAAACCAAAUUUUCUCUCUUC
This 341-nucleotide long non-coding RNA is filed under the name Athene cunicularia (burrowing owl). RNAcentral describes it as "lncRNA (ENSACUG00000007325.1)". Lineage: Eukaryota; Metazoa; Chordata; Aves; Strigiformes; Strigidae. The record is from RNAcentral.